ACGAGGCAAUCUCCAUUAGAGUUCACCAGACAGCUUCUUCUCCAUGCUCCAGUGUUUGCUGGUAAAUAAACCAAACCCGAAUCGCUCUCUUCCACGCAGCUUGAUCCGAAAAAGAAAAUUUCCGUGUGUUUAUUGAACAGUAAAGCAGUGGAUUUUUGCAUAAGUUAGAGUUUAAUGGCACUCAUUCUGUACAUAUACAACUCUUCUCUUUCCACACCCAAAAAAUAAGAUCCUCUCAAUCACACUAACCACAAAACUUCACAGACCUUUGCUUCAGGGGUUGAACAAUUUU
Molecule: long non-coding RNA, 292 nt
Filed under: Malus domestica (apple)
Lineage: Eukaryota; Viridiplantae; Streptophyta; Magnoliopsida; Rosales; Rosaceae
Description: long non-coding RNA (MDOM_LNC014485)
Source: RNAcentral